AAUCUGCCUCCGAAUCGGGGAUAACAUUGCGAAAGCGAUGCUAAUACCGGAUAAAAUCUGGUUGGCUUAGGUGAACCGGAUCAAAGGUGGUCUCUUUAUAAAAGCUACCGUUUGGAGAUGAGCUCGCGUACCAUUAGCUAGUUGGUGAGGUAAAGGCUCACCAAGGCGACGAUGGUUAGCUGGUCUGAGAGGAUGAUCAGCCACACCGGAACUGGAACACGGUCCGGACUCCUACGGGAGGCAGCAGUGAGGAAUUUUGCGCAAUGGGGGAAACCCUGACGCAGCAACGCCGCGUGAGUGAUGAAGGCUUUCGGGUCGUAAAGCUCUGUCAGGUGGGAAGAACCCACCAAGUGUUAAGACCACUUGGUGCUGACGGUACCACCGAAGGAAGCACCGGCUAACUCCGUGCCAGCAGCCGCGGUAAUACGGGGGGUGCGAGCGUUAUUCGGAAUCAUUGGGCGUAAAGGGCGCGCAGGCGGUUUUGUAAGUCAGAUGUGAAAUCCCGGGGCUUAACCCCGGAAGUGCAUAUGAAACUAUGAGACUUGAGUAUGGGAGAGGGAAGCGGAAUUCCUGGUGUAGCGGUGAAAUGCGUAGAUAUCAGGAGGAACACCGGUGGCGAAGGCGGCUUCCUGGACCAAUACUGACGCUGAGGCGCGAAGGCGUGGGGAGCGAACAGGAUUAGAUACCCUGGUAGUCCACGCAGUAAACGUUGAUCACUAGGUGUAGCGGGUAUUGACCCCUGCUGUGCCGGAGUUAACGCAUUAAGUGAUCCGCCUGGGGAGUACGAUCGCAAGAUUAAAACUCAAAGGAAUUGACGGGGGCCCGCACAAGCGGUGGAGCAUGUGGUUUAAUUCGACGCAACGCGAAGAACCUUACCUGGACUUGACAUCUCGGGAAUUCCGUUGAAAGACAGGAGUGCCUUUAACGAGGAAUCCGAUGACAGGUGCUGCAUGGCUGUCGUCAGCUCGUGUCGUGAGAUGUUGGGUUAAGUCCCGCGACGAGCGCAACCCCUAUCUUCAGUUACCAUCAGGUGAUGCUGGGACUUUGGAGAUACUGCCCCGGUUAACGGGGAGGAAGGUGGGGAUGACGUCAAGUCCUCAUGGCCUUUAUGUCCAGGGCUACACACGUGCUACAAUGGUAUGUACAAAGGGAAGCGAUCCCGCGAGGAGGAGCUAAUCCCAAAAAGCAUAUCAGAGUUCGGAUCGGAGUCUGCAACUCGACUCCGUGAAGUUGGAAUCGCUAGUAAUCGCGGAUCAGCAUGCUGCGGUGAAUACGUUCCCGGGCCUUGUACACACCGCCCGUCACACCAUGAGAGUUGGCUGUACCAGAAGUCGUUGGGCUAACCCGCAAGGGGGUAGGCGCCUA
RNAcentral lists this ribosomal RNA (1365 nucleotides) under uncultured organism. Its description in RNAcentral is "bacterial SSU rRNA". It matches the Rfam family "Bacterial small subunit ribosomal RNA", at positions 123 to 1459 of the family's 1533-position model. The record is from RNAcentral.